UUGAAAGCAGCCGCGGUAAAACGUAGGUCCCGAGCGUUGUUCAGAUUCACUGGGUGUAAAGGGCGCGUAGGUGGUUGUCUGUGUCUCAUGUGAAAACUCAGGGCUCAACUCUGAGAUUGCGUGGGAAACUAGGCAGCUAGAGGACGGUAGAGGGGAGUGGAAUUCCCGGUGUAGCGGUAAAAUGCGUAGAUACCGGGAGGAACACCGGUGGCGAAGGCGGCUCUCUGGGCCGAUCCUGACGCUGAGGCGCGAAAGCUAGGGUAGCGAACCGGAUUAGAUACCCGGGUAGUCCUAGCCGUAAACGAUGGGUGCUAGGUGUUGGGGGGUAAGGACCCUUCAGUGCCGAAGCUAACGCGAUAAGCAUCCCACCUGGGGAGUACAGCCGCAAGGUUGAAACUCAAAGGAUUGGCGG
RNAcentral lists this ribosomal RNA (412 nucleotides) under uncultured bacterium. RNAcentral's name for it is "bacterial SSU rRNA". It matches the Rfam family "Bacterial small subunit ribosomal RNA", at positions 505 to 916 of the family's 1533-position model. The record is from RNAcentral.